This 103-nucleotide ribosomal RNA is filed under the name Salmonella enterica subsp. enterica serovar Dublin. Its description in RNAcentral is "partial 23S ribosomal RNA". The stretch from base 1 to 91 matches the Rfam family "Bacterial large subunit ribosomal RNA", at positions 2835 to 2925 of the family's 2925-position model. Lineage: Bacteria; Pseudomonadati; Pseudomonadota; Gammaproteobacteria; Enterobacterales; Enterobacteriaceae. The record is from RNAcentral.
ACGUUGAAGACGACGACGUUGAUAGGCCGGGUGUGUAAGCGCAGCGAUGCGUUGAGCUAACCGGUACUAAUGAACCGUGAGGCUUAACCCUACAACGCCGAAG